RNAcentral lists this ribosomal RNA (484 nucleotides) under uncultured bacterium. RNAcentral's name for it is "partial 16S ribosomal RNA". It matches the Rfam family "Bacterial small subunit ribosomal RNA", at positions 30 to 507 of the family's 1533-position model. The record is from RNAcentral.
AUUGAACGCUGGCGGCAGGCCUAACACAUGCAAGUCGAGCGGAUGAAGGGAGCUUGCUCCUGGAUUCAGCGGCGGACGGGUGAGUAAUGCCUAGGAAUCUGCCUGGUAGUGGGGGAUAACGUCCGGAAACGGGCGCUAAUACCGCAUACGUCCUGAGGGAGAAAGUGGGGGAUCUUCGGACCUCGCGCUAUCAGAUGAGCCUAGGUCGGAUUAGCUAGUUGGUGGGGUAAAGGCCUACCAAGGCGACGAUCCGUAACUGGUCUGAGAGGAUGAUCAGUCACACUGGAACUGAGACACGGUCCAGACUCCUACGGGAGGCAGCAGUGGGGAAUAUUGGACAAUGGGCGAAAGCCUGAUCCAGCCAUGCCGCGUGUGUGAAGAAGGUCUUCGGAUUGUAAAGCACUUUAAGUUGGGAGGAAGGGCAGUAAGUUAAUACCUUGCUGUUUUGACGGUACCAACAGAAUAAGCACCGGCUAACUUCGUG